This 455-nucleotide ribosomal RNA is filed under the name uncultured bacterium. Its description in RNAcentral is "bacterial SSU rRNA". It matches the Rfam family "Bacterial small subunit ribosomal RNA", at positions 340 to 786 of the family's 1533-position model. The record is from RNAcentral.
UACGGGAGGCAGCAGUGGGGAAUAUUGCACAAUGGGCGCAAGCCUGAUGCAGCCAUGCCGCGUGUAUGAAGAAGGCCCUUCGGGUUGUAAAGUACUUUCAGUCGUGAGGAAGGUGUUAAGGUUAAUAACCUUAGCAAUUGACGUUAGCGACAGAAGAAGCACCGGCUAACUCCGUGCCAGCAGCCGCGGUAAUACGGAGGGUGCGAGCGUUAAUCGGAAUUACUGGGCGUAAAGGGCACGCAGGCGGUUAAUUAAGUUGGAUGUGAAAUCCCCCGGGCUUAACCUGGGAAUGGCAUUCAAGACUGGUUAGCUAGAGUCUUGUAGAGGGGGUAGAAUUCCAUGUGUAACGGUGAAAUGCGUAGAGAUGUGGAGGAAUACCGGUGGCGAAGGCGGCCCCUGGACAAAGACUGACGCUCAUGUGCGAAAGCGUGGGGAGCAAACAGGGAUUAGAUACC